UACGAAGGGUGCAAGCGUUACUCGGAAUUACUGGGCGUAAAGGGCGCGUAGGCGGCCUUCUAAGUCGAACGUGAAAUCCCCGGGCUCAACCCGGGAACUGCGUCCGAUACUGGAAGGCUUGAAUCCGGGAGAGGGAUGUGGAAUUCCAGGUGUAGCGGUGAAAUGCGUAGAUAUCUGGAGGAACACCGGUGGCGAAGGCGGGAUCCUGGGCCAGUACUGACGCUGAGGAGCGAAAGCGUGGGGAGCAAACAGG
Molecule: ribosomal RNA, 253 nt
Filed under: uncultured bacterium
Lineage: Bacteria
Description: partial 16S ribosomal RNA
Rfam family: Bacterial small subunit ribosomal RNA
Source: RNAcentral